RNAcentral lists this ribosomal RNA (467 nucleotides) under uncultured bacterium. RNAcentral describes it as "partial 16S ribosomal RNA". It matches the Rfam family "Bacterial small subunit ribosomal RNA", at positions 28 to 507 of the family's 1533-position model. The record is from RNAcentral.
GAUGAACGCUGGCGGCGCGCCUAACACAUGCAAGUCGAACGAUUAAAGCACCUUCGGGUGUGUAUAAAGUGGCGAACGGCUGAGUAACACGUGGGCAACCUGCCCCUUUCAUUGGGAUAGCCACGGGAAACCGUGGAUAAUACCGAAUACUUCGAGACUUCCGCAUGGAAGACUCGCGAAAGCCCCGGCGGAGAGGGAUGGGCCCGCGGCCUGUUAGCUUGUUGGUGGAGUAACGGCCUACCAAGGCAAUGAUGGGUAGCUGGGUUGAGAGACCGACCAGCCAGAUUGGGACUGAGACACGGCCCAGACUCCUACGGGAGGCAGCAGUGGGGAAUCUUGCACAAUGGGCGAAAGCCUGAUGCAGCGACGCCGCGUGCGGGAUGAAGGCCUUCGGGUUGUAAACCGCUUUCAGCAGGGACGAGGCGAAAGUGACGGUACCUGCAGAAGAAGCCCCGGCUAACUACGUG